This 21-nucleotide non-coding RNA is filed under the name Caenorhabditis elegans. Lineage: Eukaryota; Metazoa; Nematoda; Chromadorea; Rhabditida; Rhabditidae. The record is from RNAcentral.
UAUUUUCUUUAUCAUCCGCGC